UGCGGUUAAAAAGCUCGUAGUUGGAUUUCUGUCGAAGGCGGCCGGUCCGCACUAUGUGCGUGUAUCUGGUUCGGUUUUGGCAUCCUCUUGGGGAACGUUUCUGUGCUUGAUUGCAUGGGGCGGAAUUCAAGACUUUUACUUUGAGGAAAUUAGAGUGUUCACGGCAAGCUAUCGCUUUGAAUACAUUAGCAUGGAAUAAUAAUAUAGGGCGUAAGUUCUAUUUUGUUGGUUUCUAGGACAUACGCAAUGAUUAAUAGGGACAAUUGGGGGCAUUCGUAUUAACGCGUCAGAGGUAGAAUUCUUAGAUUGCGUUACGACGAACUACUGCGAAAGCAUUUGCCAAGGAUGUUUUCAUUGAUCAAGAACGAAAGUAUGGGGAUCGAAGACGAUUAGAUACCGUCGUAGUCUAUACCAUAAACUAUGCCAAUUAGAGAUUGGAGGUCGUUCGUUUUAUGACUCCUUCAGCACCUUAUGAGAAAUCAAAAUUUUUGGGUUCCGGGGGGAGUAUGGUCGCAAGGCUGAAACUUAAAGGAAUUGACGGAAGGGCACCACCAGGAGUGGAGCCUGCGGCUUAAUUUGACUC
RNAcentral lists this ribosomal RNA (583 nucleotides) under uncultured marine eukaryote. RNAcentral describes it as "SSU rRNA". It matches the Rfam family "Eukaryotic small subunit ribosomal RNA", at positions 614 to 1201 of the family's 1831-position model. The record is from RNAcentral.